AAUCUUAGAUUUGAUGAAAAAUCAAAGUGUUUGAUUUUAUCAAAUUUGAAAAUGAAUUGUGUGUUUACAAGAAGAUAGUGGGAGCAUUUUUCGUAUUCCUAAAACGACAUCCCUAUAUUUCAAUCGUUGAAAUAAUGGUUGUUAAAAGAUUUAUUCAUAAAUGAUAUGAGAUAAGCAACUUGAUCUAUAGAGGUAGAUCUAGAAGAUUGCUUAACUCAUCCCAAUUUAUAUAGAUGAAAUCUUGAGAAGAUUUCAUAUGGAGAAACUAGUUUACUCUUAAG
This 281-nucleotide long non-coding RNA is filed under the name Olea europaea (common olive). RNAcentral's name for it is "long non-coding RNA (OEUR_LNC000490)". Lineage: Eukaryota; Viridiplantae; Streptophyta; Magnoliopsida; Lamiales; Oleaceae. The record is from RNAcentral.